Molecule: ribosomal RNA, 279 nt
Filed under: uncultured bacterium
Lineage: Bacteria
Description: partial 16S ribosomal RNA
Rfam family: Bacterial small subunit ribosomal RNA
Source: RNAcentral
UGCCAGCAGCCGCGGUAACACGGGGGGCGCAAGCGUUAUUCGGAAUUAUUGGGCGUAAAGGGUGCGUAGGCGGACAAUUAAGUCAGUGGUGAAAUACUUCGGCUCAACCGGAGAGGUGCCAUUGAUACUGGUUGUCUAGAGUACAGACGAGGUAGGCGGAAUUUAUGGUGUAGCGGUGAAAUGCAUAGAUACCAUAAAGAACACCGAUAGCGAAGGCAGCUUACUAGACUGUAACUGACGCUGAGGCACGAAAGCGUGGGUAGCGAACAGGAUUAGAUA